AAGCGGAGGAAAAGAAACCAACUGGGAUUACCUUAGUAACGGCGAGUGAAGCGGUAAAAGCUCAAAUUUGAAAUCUGGUACUUUCAGUGCCCGAGUUGUAAUUUGUAGAAUUUGUCUUUGAUUAGGUCCUUGUCUAUGUUCCUUGGAACAGGACGUCAUAGAGGGUGAGAAUCCCGUUUGGCGAGGAUACCUUUUCUCUGUAAGACUUUUUCGAAGAGUCGAGUUGUUUGGGAAUGCAGCUCAAAGUGGGUGGUAAAUUCCAUCUAAAGCUAAAUAUUGGCGAGAGACCGAUAGCGAACAAGUACAGUGAUGGAAAGAUGAAAAGAACUUUGAAAAGAGAGUGAAAAAGUACGUGAAAUUGUUGAAAGGGAAGGGCAUUUGAUCAGACAUGGUGUUUUUUGCAUGCACUCGCCUCUCGUGGGCUUGGGCCUCUCAAAAAUUUCACUGGGCCAACAUCAAUUCUGGCAGCAGGAUAAAUCAUUAAGAAUGUAGCUACUUCGGUAGUGUUAUAGCUUUUUGGAAUACUGUUAGCCGGGAUUGAGGACUGCGCUUCGGCAAGGAUGU
Molecule: ribosomal RNA, 564 nt
Filed under: Hanseniaspora uvarum
Lineage: Eukaryota; Fungi; Ascomycota; Saccharomycetes; Saccharomycodales; Saccharomycodaceae
Description: eukaryotic LSU rRNA
Rfam family: Eukaryotic large subunit ribosomal RNA
Source: RNAcentral